RNAcentral lists this ribosomal RNA (495 nucleotides) under uncultured bacterium. RNAcentral describes it as "partial 16S ribosomal RNA". It matches the Rfam family "Bacterial small subunit ribosomal RNA", at positions 28 to 507 of the family's 1533-position model. The record is from RNAcentral.
GAUGAACGCUGGCGGCGUGCCUAAUACAUGCAAGUCGAACGCUGAAGGAGGAGCUUGCUCUUCUGGAUGAGUUGCGAACGGGUGAGUAACCCGUAGGUAACCUGCCUGGUAGCGGGGGAUAACUAUUGGAAACGAUAGCUAAUACCGCAUGACAACAGUUAUUGCAUGAUAACUGUUUCAAAGGGGUAACUGCUCCACUACCAGAUGGACCUGCGUUGUAUUAGCUAGUUGGUGAGGUAACGGCUCACCAAGGCGACGGAACAUAGCCGGGCUGGGCGGGAGAAACGCCAAACUUGGAACGGGAAAACGCCCAGAAUUCCACGGGAGGGAGCAGGAGGGAAACUUCGGCAAUGGACGGAAGUCUGAACGAGGAACGCCGGGUGAGUGAAGAAGGGUUUCGGGUUGUAAAGCUCUGUUGUAAGGGAAGAAAGAGUGUGAGAGUGAAAAGGGCACGCUGUGACGGUACCGUAACAGAAAGCAACGGCUAACUACGUG